CAUGGCCGUCGUCAGUUCGUACUGUGAAGCAUCCUGUUAAGUCAGGCAACGAGCGAGACCACGCCAACAGUUGCCAGCAUGAUCUCCGGAUUGAUGGGGACACUGUUGGGACCGCCUCUGCUAAAGGGGAGGAAGGAAUGGGCAACGGUAGGUCAGCAUGCCCCGAAUUAUCCGGGCUACACGCGGGCUACAAUGGAUGGGACAAUGGGUUUCGACACCGAAAGGUGAAGGUAAUCUCCUAACCCCACCCGUAGUUCGGAUUGCGGGCUGCAACUCGCCCGCAUGAAGCUGGAAUCCGUAGUAAUCGCGUCUCACGAUGGCGCGGUGAAUAUGUCCCUGCUCCUU
This 345-nucleotide ribosomal RNA is filed under the name uncultured Methanocalculus sp. RNAcentral describes it as "bacterial SSU rRNA". It matches the Rfam family "Archaeal small subunit ribosomal RNA", at positions 993 to 1338 of the family's 1478-position model. The record is from RNAcentral. Lineage: Archaea; Methanobacteriati; Methanobacteriota; Methanomicrobia; Methanomicrobiales; Methanocalculaceae.